Molecule: ribosomal RNA, 468 nt
Filed under: uncultured bacterium
Lineage: Bacteria
Description: partial 16S ribosomal RNA
Rfam family: Bacterial small subunit ribosomal RNA
Source: RNAcentral
GACGAACGCUGGCGGCGUGCUUAACACAUGCAAGUCGAACGGAAAGGCCCUGCUUUUGUGGGGUGCUCGAGUGGCGAACGGGUGAGUAACAAGUGAGUAACCUGCCCUUGACUUUGGGAUAACUUCAGGAAACUGGGGCUAAUACCGGAUAGGAGCUCCUGCUGCAUGGUGGGGGUUGGAAAGUUUCGGCGGUUGGGGAUGGACUCGCGGCUUAUCAGCUUGUUGGUGGGGUAGUAGCUUACCAAGGCUUUGACGGGUAGCCGGCCUGAGAGGGUGACCGGCCACAUUGGGACUGAGAUACGGCCCAGACUCCUACGGGAGGCAGCAGUGGGGAAUAUUGCACAAUGGGCGGAAGCCUGAUGCAGCAACGCCGCGUGCGGGAUGUCGGCCUUCGGGUUGUAAACCGCUUUCGCCUGUGACGAAGCGCGAGUGACGGUAAUGGGUAAAGAAGCACCGGCUAACUACGUG